ACCCCCUGGCAUGUACUGCCGCUUUGUCACUGGCUCACUGCCGCCAUGGGCUUCUUUUGACAGCCCUUGUCCGCCUUGCAGACCUUUGCUCGGGGUCGGGGGCAAAGCGGUCACGCAUCGGCAAGCCUCGAAGCACCAGAAGCUGAGGGUACGCCCCGCCACCGCCUCUUACACGAAGGGGGACGCACACCCUUCGGCGGCAGCCAAGCGCUAGAAUCAGAGCUGGAUGCGCCACUGCGGCAUCCUUGGAGACGGUAGCCACCGCGUCCGAUCUGUGGCUGCUCGGCGAAGGUAGUCGCAGCAGCCUUUCCAGGCGCUAUGGCCACAGGCGGUAGGUCCACCCAUUGUGUAGAGCGAGGAGCAGAACACAGAACCACGUGGUGCUGCUAUUGUUUCUGCUGAUGUGCUGCUCCUCCUUUUUGGACAGAACCCAGAGAGAUUAUUGAGGCACUGAACCUCAGAAAAAUCACUAUGACAUGAUCAAGCAGCCAGCAGCACGAAGGAAUCAGUUCGGACUCUUGUUUUAUUCUUUAUAAUUAUCUUCCAAGAUGUUAACCCGUUGGGAAGUUAAACAUGCCAUUCGUACAUAGCAUUGAUUGUAAGAAGUUGCAUGCUAUCAUGAUUAAAGGGCAGUGACGCGAGGGUUCAAAGCUCGAAUGGGACGCCGGACCGAGAUGCUAUGUCCCAUCAACUUUACCGAUCAAUUUCAAUUUGCAAGGGAAGGAAAUGAAGGCACAUAGCUGGUAUGUUCCUCUUUCUUAGGCCACUGAAAGCAAUUUCUUUCGUAUAUGUUAUCUGAUUGGCCAAGCCAGUUUCAAAUUCUUCUGUCGUAAUUAGAGGAUGAGAAAAUUGUCUCUUCCGGUUUCAUCUUUAGUUUAUUUGGUGCACUGUAUUCUGUUUUCGUGCGCGUAUGAAUGAAUUGAAAUCAAAGAUGAAUGGCAGAAAUUAACUAUACGGAGCUGAUAUUGGUAUGUUCGUCUUUGUUUAGGUAAUAAAAUCGAAUUUACUUUA
This is a long non-coding RNA of Lolium perenne, 1011 nucleotides long. RefSeq lists it as uncharacterized. Lineage: Eukaryota; Viridiplantae; Streptophyta; Magnoliopsida; Poales; Poaceae. The record is from RefSeq and is a predicted model, not a curated record.